UGCCAUCUUAAUGUCCUUUAGUGGCCCAUAUUUUCAUCUAUUCAUGAUCAGGAAGUUGGAACACAUUUAGAUCAUGUUCGGAGUCCUAAAAUAGUGGAACAAUGAGAUCUUGGUGCGUCGUAUUGCCAAUCAUGUUGGUCAACAUUUGUGCUGGCUACUAGAGCUAAAACUGUUGAGGCUCAACGCGAUCAUGGCGUGAUGUGUCGAGUAUCACAUCGUAGCCAUUAACGCAC
This 233-nucleotide long non-coding RNA is filed under the name Capsicum annuum. RNAcentral's name for it is "long non-coding RNA (CANN_LNC014112)". Lineage: Eukaryota; Viridiplantae; Streptophyta; Magnoliopsida; Solanales; Solanaceae. The record is from RNAcentral.